Nycticebus coucang (slow loris) is the source of this 2057-nucleotide RNA transcript. It is a transcript of the gene named translation initiation factor IF-2, mitochondrial-like, with no coding region annotated. The record is from RefSeq and is a predicted model, not a curated record. The transcript has a single exon. Lineage: Eukaryota; Metazoa; Chordata; Mammalia; Primates; Lorisidae.
AAGAGAAACAUGAACCAGAAGCUACUAAAGUUAGAGAACUUGCUACGAUUUCACACUAUUGGUAGGGAGCUGCAUAGCCUGGGUCAGAGAAGAACAUUAGCAUAGUGGAGGCAUGGAUUUUUGCCUGCUUGCCCAAUGUGGACAGCUCCGCUGUAUGCCCGACCCUUACAGAUAGACGUGCUCAUCGGGGCUACUUUAUUUCAAUAUAAGCUUCUAGGAACAAAUAAGGAAAAAAGACCAUGGGAAUCUCAGUUAUCUUCAACAAAAUCUAAAAAGGAGGUGGAAGUAUGGAUUGGAAUGACUGUUGAGGAGCUGGCCCAGGCAAUGGAAAAAAAACACGGAUUAUAUAUAUGAAGCUUUAUUGAACACUGCUAUUUAUGUAGAUUCACUAGAAGCAGACUCACAUUUAGAUGAAGUCUGGAUCAAAGAAGUGCUAAAGAAGGCAGGGAUGAAGUUAAAAUGGAGCAAAUUAAAACAAGACAAAGUCAGAGAAAAUAAAGAUGCUAUAAGAAGUCUGUCUGCCUUCUGGGGAAAAGACAACUUUUCUUGAUACUCCAGGACAUGCUGCCUUCUCAGCAAUGAGAGCCAGAGGUGCUCAGGUCACUGACAUUGUCAUAUUGGUUGUAGCUGCAGAUGAUGGCGUGAUGAAACAAACAGUAGAAUCUAUUCAGCAUGCAAAAGAUGCUCAAGUUCCUAUUGUGCUUCCUAUAAACAAAUGUGACAAAGCUGAGGCUGACCCUGAAAACGUGAAAAAAGAGCUGCUGGCUUAUGACGUGGUGUGUGAAGAUUAUGGAGGGAUGUUCAAGCAGUGCACAUCUCUGCACUUACAGGUGAGAAUCUGAUGGCUUUGACAGAAGCAACAAUUGUUCUCGCAGAGAUAUUGGAAUUGAAAGCUGAUCCCACUGGUCCAAUGGAAGGAACAGUAAUAGAGUCUUUCACAGACAAAGGAAGAGGUCCUGUUACUACAGCUAUAAUUCAAAGAGGAACUCUGAGGAAAGGCUCUGCUCUGGUUGCUGGAAAGUGUUGGGCAAAAGUGCAUUUAAUAUUUGAUGAAAAUGGAAAAAUAAUCAAUGAGGCCUACCCCAGCAUGCCAGUGGGAAUUUAGGCUGGAGAAAUCUUCCUUCUGCAGGAGAUGAAAUUCUUGAAGUAGAAUCUGAGCCAAGGGCACGUGAAGUUGUUGGCUGGAGGAUAUAUGAACAAGAACAGGAGAAAAAUAAAGAGGAUCUGAAAACAAUAGAAGAAAAGCGAAAGGAACACCAAGAAGCACAUCGGCAAGCCUGGGAGAAGUAUGGCACUUCGCACUGGAAGGAGAGUUCAUUUAUAAAGUAUCUAGAGAGAAAAGAACAAAAGCCCUUAAAGCCAAAAGAGAAAAGAGAAAAUAGAAAGAGAUUCAAAUAUACUUCCUGUAAUAAUUAAAGGUGAUGUUGAUGGCUCUUUUGAGGCCAUUUUGAACCUUAUGGAUACCUACGAUGCUUCACACAAGUGUGAACUGGAUUUAGUACAUUUUGGAGUGGGUGAUUUUAGUGAAAGUGAUGUUAACCUUGCUGAAACAUUUGAUGGUGUUAUAUAUGGCUUUAAUGUGAAUGUAGACAAUGUUAUCCAGAAGUCCACUGCAAAAAAAGGAGUAAAAAUUAAACUUCACAAAAUCAUUUACUGUCUUGUUGAAGAUUUUCAGGAGGAAUUGAGCAGUAAAUUGCCCUGCAUUGUGGAAGAACACUCAGUAGGUGAGGCUUCUAUGCUAGCUACUUUCUCUGUAAUGGAAGGGAAGAAGAAAGUUCCUGUGGCUGGCUGCAGAGUACAAAAGGGACAGUUUGAAAAACAAAAAAAAAUUGAAUUAAUCCGUAACGGACAUGUUAUUUGGAAGGGUUCAUUAACUUCACUGAAACACCACAAAGAUGACGUUUCAGUCAUCAAAACUGGAAUAGAUUGUGGUCUCAGUUUAGAUGAAGACGAGAUAGACUUUAAAGUAGGAGAUGAAAUUGUUUGUCAUGAAGAAAAGCAAGUUACAGCCAAAACUUCUUGGGAUCCAGGAUUUUAAGAUACAUUAAAAAUGUAAA